UCGAAGAUAGAUGGGUCCGAGACCAAGGAUGAACAAAAUCUAAAACACGAUGAGGGAAAGUUUAUAUUUGAGAAUGGGGACAGUUAUGUUGGAGAAUACAAACUUGAUCAUGAACGGUUUGUACUGUUUAAGCAAGGUUAACAUUUUGCAUUAUUUUUCUAGUUUUUACGUGGGGUUUACAUAUUAUUCAGAAAUACAUAUACGUAUGUACAUAGUAUGUAUUAGGUUGUCCCGAAAGUUUCUUUCGCGAGUUGCACUCAAUUAUUUUAUGUGGUCGUGUUUAUAUAAAUAGACAAUCUAAUUUCAUAGAUAUUCAUGUUGUAACAACAAUGGAGCAAAAUGAAUCAUGCACAAUUCAGUAAUGUAACAUAAAACAUAAACUAUUGUGCAUGUAUUAUUUAUUAAUAAAGCGAAAGAAACUUUUGGGACAACCUAAUAUUAUGUACAAUAAUGUUAUAGUCUGCGCGUAUAUUUUGUGUAGGAAAAGGAGUGUACAGAACCGAUAACUUUGAUGUAUACGAUGGAGAAUGGGAUAACGAUACUUUUGCUGAUAGCGAAAUUGACAUUCGGUAAUUAGAAUUUGUUUUAGACGUGCUGAAAUAAUUCUUGACGAUACUUUUUAAAGUUUAAAUAAUAAAUACACGAAUGACUGAAGGUAUAAUAACGAUGCUCGGUAUCGAGGUAAAAUCGAUUCGAACGGAAGAAUAAACGGCCAAGGAACGUACACGUUUCCCGACGGAUCCACUAUUCGAGCCGAUUGGUUUGAAAAUAAACCGUUUAAAAAUAUUGUUUAUCGAGAGCCCCUAGGAUUCGCGUGGGUAGUAGAGAACGUAUCGAAGAAUGUAAACGAAUCGAGUAUGAUAACGUUUUCUUCUGGGAACCAUUUCUGGAACGACAUGUUAACGGAUCAGAGCAUCGGAAAUGGUAUCGAAUCCGCUGAAGAAAAUUAACUCUAUCGAGCUCGCAACGAAUCGAAGAACUUGCGCACUCGUUGUC
Hylaeus volcanicus is the source of this 996-nucleotide RNA transcript. It is a transcript of the gene named radial spoke head 1 homolog, with no coding region annotated. The record is from RefSeq and is a predicted model, not a curated record. Lineage: Eukaryota; Metazoa; Arthropoda; Insecta; Hymenoptera; Colletidae. The transcript has 3 exons.